RNAcentral lists this ribosomal RNA (446 nucleotides) under uncultured bacterium. RNAcentral describes it as "partial 16S ribosomal RNA". It matches the Rfam family "Bacterial small subunit ribosomal RNA", at positions 338 to 795 of the family's 1533-position model. The record is from RNAcentral.
CCUACGGGGGGCAGCAGUCGAGAAUCAUUCACAAUGGGGGAAACCCUGAUGGUGCGACGCCGCGUGGGGGAAUGAAGGUCUUCGGAUUGUAAACCCCUGUCAUGUGGGAGCAAAUUAAAAAGAUAGUACCACAAGAGGAAGAGACGGCUAACUCUGUGCCAGCAGCCGCGGUAAUACAGAGGUCUCAAGCGUUGUUCGUAAUCACUGGGCGGAAAGCGUGCGUAGGCUGUUUCGUAAGUCGUGUGUGAAAGGCGCGGGCUCAACCCGCGGACGGCACAUGAUACUGCGAGACUAGAGUAAUGGAGGGGGAACCGGAAUUCUCGGUGUAGCAGUGAAAUGCGUAGAUAUCGAGAGGAACACUCGUGGCGAAGGCGGGUUCCUGGACAUUAACUGACGCUGAGGCACGAAGGCCAGGGGAGCGAAAGGGAUUAGAUACCCUAGUAGUC